GGCUGCGCGAAAGGAUACGGAGUCUGGCCUGCCCACUGGAAAUGUCUCAACGGCCGCGGUAAUUUGACCGUGCGAAGGUAGCAUAAUCAAUAGUCUUUUAAUUAAAGGCUGGAAUGAAUGGUCGGACAAGAAGACGGCUGUCUCCACCUCAGAUCCUGAAUUUUACUUUUGAGUGAAAAGGCUUAAAUUGGUUAGAGGGACGAUAAGACCCUUUAAAACUUUACACAAAAAUAAAUCUUUCCGAAUGAGUAGUUUAAAAAAGACCUUGUUAGUUUGUUAUGUUGGGGAGACACAAAUAUAAUAUAAAUUUGAUAACUGUUUUAAAAGGUUAAUAAUUUUAAUUAGUUUACUGAACCGGUAUUGCCGAUUAGAAGAACAAGUUACUUUAGGGAUAACAGCGUAAUUAUUUUUGAGAGUCCUUAUCGACAAAAUGAGUUGCGACCUCGAUGUUGAAUUAAAGCUCCCUUCUUGUGCAGAAGUAAAAACGGUAGGUCUGUUCGACCUUUAAAGCUUU
This 514-nucleotide ribosomal RNA is filed under the name Processa fimbriata. RNAcentral's name for it is "partial 16S ribosomal RNA". It matches the Rfam family "Bacterial large subunit ribosomal RNA", at positions 1832 to 2597 of the family's 2925-position model. The record is from RNAcentral. Lineage: Eukaryota; Metazoa; Arthropoda; Malacostraca; Decapoda; Processidae.